Molecule: ribosomal RNA, 402 nt
Filed under: bacterium
Lineage: Bacteria
Description: partial 16S ribosomal RNA
Rfam family: Bacterial small subunit ribosomal RNA
Source: RNAcentral
UGGGGAAUAUUGCACAAUGGAGGGAACUCUGAUGCAGCGACGCCGCGUGAACGAAGAAGGCUUUCGAGUCGUAAAGUUCUUUUAUAUGGGAAGAUAAUGACGGUACCAUAAGAAAAAGCCCCGGCUAACUACGUGCCAGCAGCCGCGGUAAUACGUAGGGGGCUAGCGUUGUCCGGAAUCACUGGGCGUAAAGGGUUCGCAGGCGGAAAUGCAAGUCAGGUGUAAAAGGCAGUAGCUUAACUACUGUAAGCAUUUGAAACUGCAUAUCUUGAGAAGAGUAGAGGUAAGUGGAAUUUUUAGUGUAGCGGUGAAAUGCGUAGAUAUUAAAAAGAAUACCGGUGGCGAAGGCGACUACUGGGCUCAUUCUGACGCUGAGGAACGAAAGCGUGGGUAGCAAACAGG